Molecule: ribosomal RNA, 274 nt
Filed under: uncultured bacterium
Lineage: Bacteria
Description: partial 16S ribosomal RNA
Rfam family: Bacterial small subunit ribosomal RNA
Source: RNAcentral
ACACGUAGGAUCCAAGCGUUAUCCGGAUUUACUGGGCGUAAAGCGCGUGUAGGUGGUUAGGUAAGUUGGAUGUUAAAUCUCCCGGCUCAACUGGGAGCUGUCGUUCAAAACUGCCAAACUAGAGGACGGUAGAGGGAGGUGGAAUUCAGGGUGUAGUGGUGAAAUGCGUAGAUAGCCUGAGGAACACCAGUGGCGAAGGCGGCCUCCUGGCCCGCUCCUGACACUAAGACGCGAAAGCUAGGGUAGCGAACGGGAUUAGAUACCCCAGUAGUCC